RNAcentral lists this ribosomal RNA (433 nucleotides) under uncultured bacterium. RNAcentral describes it as "bacterial SSU rRNA". It matches the Rfam family "Bacterial small subunit ribosomal RNA", at positions 29 to 507 of the family's 1533-position model. The record is from RNAcentral.
AACGAACGCUGGCGGCAGGCCUAACACAUGCAAGUCGAGCGAACCCUUCGGGGUUAGCGGCGGACGGGUUAGUAACGCGUGGGAAUAUACCCUUUGGUACGGAAUAGCCUCGGGAAACUGAGAGUAAUACCGUAUGUGCCCUUCGGGGAAAGAUUUAUCGCCAAAGGAUUAGCCCGCGUUGGAUUAGAUAGUUGGUGGGGUAAUGGCCUACCAAGUCUACGAUCCAUAGCUGGUUUGAGAGGAUGAUCAGCAACACUGGGACUGAGACACGGCCCAGACUCCUACGGGAGGCAGCAGUGGGGAAUCUUAGACAAUGGGCGCAAGCCUGAUCUAGCCAUGCCGCGUGGACGAUGAAGGCCUUAGGGUUGUAAAGUCCUUUCAGAUGGGAAGAUAAUGACGGUACCAUCAGAAGAAGACCCCGGCUAACUCCGUG